This 865-nucleotide long non-coding RNA is filed under the name Solanum tuberosum (potato). RNAcentral's name for it is "long non-coding RNA (STUB_LNC004660)". Lineage: Eukaryota; Viridiplantae; Streptophyta; Magnoliopsida; Solanales; Solanaceae. The record is from RNAcentral.
AGUGGGGAGAGCAUAGAAGGUCUGAAGCGUAAAUGCCAAUUAGUGAACUGAGUGAGGGCAGAGCAAGGCAACAUUAAAAGAUUCAUGUGUACUUGGUAUAAACUAUAGCUGAGUAAAGUAAAUAAUGCCAAGUGCCAGAUGGCAUUGGAUUUUUUGUCCGUCUUAAGAAUGGAAGUUGUCCAUUUUAAGUACGAACUAGAAAGCCAUUUUUAAUAUGGUUCAUGGUUCUCUUGAUUAUUGGGCGUCGACCCUUCUUGACACAGGGCGUCGACCCUUCUUGAUACCUGCUUGUGCUUGGUGUGACGACAUGAUGUAUUUAUUGGGAGAGCCUUGUUAUUGAAUCUUUUGGAAAAUGGUGCUAUGAGCAUUCUUGACAUUUGGACCUCUAAAUAUCGAACUUGAUACUCUUGAUAUAUUGUUUACUUGAUUUAUUUAUUAUGUUUGAUUAUGCUGCCCAUGACUUGAGAAAGGUAGUUUGGUGAAUCUGAUGGCUCCGAACCUAUAGUUUUGCACCACUAAGCUAUAUGCUUAGCGAUAGUUGUUUCUAUCAUAGGGAAAGAUCGAGAAGAGGCGUGAAGUGGGCGGGCCAUUGGAGAUGGAGAUUUUGAGACCUUUAAGGAAGAUCACAUUUGCACAUAGGCAUCUAUAUUUUGUAUAAACCUUGGGACUUGUACAAGAUCUAUGUGUUGUAUAUUUACAUGAAAUUUUGAGGACUAAUUUGAUCAUGUCACCAUGGGUUGUAAUAUAAGUAUGGCUAUAUGUUUUGUUCUUUUGGGGUGUGUAAGCCCAAGUCUUGUAAUAUAUUAAAUUUACCACUAAUUUUGAAUGAUUGUGUGAAGCAUGAAUGACCUAGUUGGGUACCCGG